This 3741-nucleotide long non-coding RNA is filed under the name Homo sapiens (human). RNAcentral's name for it is "HSALNT0364978". The record is from RNAcentral. Lineage: Eukaryota; Metazoa; Chordata; Mammalia; Primates; Hominidae.
GUAUGUCAGAAUGUGCAUAGCUGUAAGAGAAGUUUUGUCAGUGUGAAUCUGAGGGUGGAGUGAGAUUUCUUCACCACCUGGUGAGAAAUAAUCUGUCUUGCAGUAAGUGCUAGUGUUGUUUUGUUUUGGGGAAAAAGGAAAAAACAUUUUUCAUGAUGCAGGUGUUGAAAUUUCUGGAUUCCUCUCUCCCUCCCGCAUCCUCCUCCUCUUCUCUUUUGCCUUUUCCUCCUUCUCCUUUUAUUUCUACUUCUUUUUCUUGCUUAAUUUUAGAAUUUGAUUCUGUUGCUGGAUGUUAUUUAUUCUCUGGCAUAACCAUUGCAGUUCGUUUUUGGAGCUGUGCUCCACGGCCAUUCACAUUUUAGAAUGGAACUGUGUUGUUUUGUCAUUCAUCACUCAAGUCUGAAAGACCAUUGUAAUCGUUUUGCUGAUAAAGAACAUGAAUGUAAAGAAGAAAUAGUGGUAAACCAGACAGCCCUGAGAGUGUGUUGUCUUGAAAAGGAACAUGAGAUCACAGAGAAGUUCUUUAUUUUUGUUCAUUUAAAUUGAUGAAUUCUUUAAAUUGUAUGUCUAAUUGUACUCAUUUUUUUUAUAGUUUAAUGCAGACAGGUUAUAAGAUUCUAGACGCUAAUUCACACUGAUUUCUUUCACAAGUUAGGAGACAAUUGUUGAUUCAUAAAACAUGAGAGGAACUUUGGGUAAUUGUCGAUUGCAUGACUAUUCUGUGCAUUUCUAUUGCUUUGCUAUCGGCAGUCAUUAAAUGGAUUCAAUUUGAAAUCUGAAUGAGAAAUUAGUGUAUUCUUAUGAAUGUGCCUCACAUAAGUUUUAAAUGAAGUGUUUGACUUUUUCAUACAUAUCAACUUGGCAAAAGAAUUUUAAUUAUUUUAUUGGCUGAGUUUAUGAGAUUCAUAGUUCAAGAUUACUCAAACCAGGGUACAUUUAGAAAUAAAUACAAUUAAAUGCUCACAAAUGUGAAGGUCUUAAACAGGAACUGAGCUGUAAUAAUUGUUUAAUCUAGAAACUUCCUCUUUUGUUUUGCUAUACACUAUUCUCUUAAUACUCCCACCCUCCCCCAACCUUUUUUUUUUUUUUUUUAAGAGUAGCCUAACCUUUUGCUGGUGACUCCGGGAACCUAUUAGAAAAUGAAUGGUGGUGCUGUUUCAGUUUUCCUUUCAGCCUUUCAGUUAACUAAACACUUACAUCUGAUCAUUGUCACUUAGUUUUUCAAAGCACAGGUGUUUUCUCUUACCCUUCUUUCUCUGCCUCAGUCUCUCCCCUGCUUUUCUCCUUCUCUCCCUCUGUCCCCUACUUCUCUUCUUCCUAUAUUCCUCUACACUUCCUCUCUCCUUCUCUCUCUCGCCUCCCUUCCUCCCUCUCCUCCCUGCCCCCCAACCCUUUCCCCUUCUCCCUCUCUCUCAGUGAAUAUCACCAUUUCCCAAUAUAAUUGGGCUUGUCCAGUUCGACUUGUAGAAUAUUGGAGAAUUUCAGCUUGAACAUAUACUCUGAGCAGGAGUGGUAAGAAAUGUGACUGUUUAGCUCAAAAAUUAAUAGCUUGAAAUCAGUGAAGCCACUGUCACAUGCUCCAUCUUUGUAAGCACCACUGCUUUUCCUUUUUUCUCCUGUGACAUGGGGGGAGGUGGGAUGGGAGGGUACACAGUAAUCCCACUAUCCUCUGAUGGCUCAGAAUAAGGAGAAAAGAGGCAUUAAUGGCUCAUGAAUGUGUGGAUGCACAACUCUAAAUAAGUACCACUUACGACUGUCUCCUAGUAUGACUAUGACUUCUCUGUUUUAGUUCCCAUCUUUGAGACUACAAGUAGCUCAGAUUCGAUUUUGAUAGUCGCACAUCCACAGUAUAAUUUACUUACAUAACAGGUGUUCCUGAAGAUAAGUAAAUGUAACUUAUUCCUACUAACUUCUAUAAUUUAAAGAAUAAAGCUUCUUUUGUAUUAUAUAAUUAUUAGAUUAUAUAUCUAAUUAAUUAUUAGUAGAAGAGAAAAAAAAUCAUCCAUGAACCAUCUCCUAGGAACAGAUGACCAAUAUUGAUAGUUUCUUGGAUUUCUUUAUAGGCAUUUUUGUCUAAGGUUUUUCCUUUUAUCUGCCUGUUUUACUUAGUUGUGAUCAUGCUAUAUGUAUCAUCUUUAGUCCUGUUGUUUGCACUUAAUAUCAUGUCAUGUGUUUUCAAUUGUUAUAAACUUUUGUAAACACAUUUAAAUACUGCAUAAUGUUCUUUGGAAUUUACAUAGCAUAAUUUAACCAUUCUCCUCAGUUUUUGAAAACUACAUGUGGUAUUUUCAAGUUGCUUGCUUUUAUAAACAAUGCUUUGACAAAUAUCUUUGCACAUAUGACUUUUUCCACAUUGAGGUGAUAUUUCCAGAAAUAAAGUUAUGAGAUUAGGAACACCGUGUAUGUUAUUUUAAAUUCACAAGGCUGUGUGAGUGAAGACAUUGUUUUGUUUGUCUGUUGUUGUUGUUUACAUUUUUUAUUUGGAAAUCGUUUCAAACUUACUGAAAAGUUGCAAAAAUAGUACAAUGUAUACCCGUAUUCAUUUUACACGGAUUCGCCUCUUAUUGACAUUUUGUUCCAUUUGCUUUAUCAUUUGUGUCUGUGAACUCUCCCUCUGUCUUUUUCACUCCUUCCUUCUUUAUCUUUUUCCCUUCCAUCUUUCUCUGUGCAUUUUUUCUGAACCAUUCUAGGAGGAGAAAGGUAUUAGAAACCAAUAUUGGGGUGCUAGGUGUGCUGCUUACUAACAGGGUAGAUUUGAUUCUAGGCCUUUUUUAGGAGACAGGAAAAAUAAUAUACACACACAUGCAUGUGUGCAUACACAAGCACAUAUUUUAGGAAUUGUUUUUAUCUUUCCCAUCUUUGUUUAUUAAUUUUAUUUUUUGAAUAUGUGGAACACUAAUAUGCUUUCCAAAUUCAAAACUCUGUAUAAAGGUAUACUGAGACAUGUAUUACUGCUAGAAGUUGGUCAUUUAUUUAUAGCAAAUGGGGUUCAUCUCUUCAAGUUUAAAAUGAUCAACUUUAUUUUUUAAUCAAGCAUACUUAUUAGAUAUUCAAAGAGAAGAAAAGCAACCCUUGAUUCUUGUGACCAGCCUUAGCUUUUUGUAUAGUAGAAAAUAAGAGAUGUUUGGUUCACAGAUAAGGCAAGUGACAGGCACUUCACGACAGAGGCUUGCUUAGCCCCUUUGUCUGUGUACAAUGGGUUAUGUUCCCUGCUUCCAUACACUGUUGCUACUUGGUUGUUGUUGUUGUUUUUAUAUUUUACUUCUUGAUGCUAGCUUACUGGUGAUAAAUUUCAUUAGUUCCCACUCUUCUAGUUUAACUUUGAAAACAUCUUUGAAUAGUGGGUAUAUCAACUAUAUGCAUUUUUCAAGGGUUAAGCUCUUGAUCACAUGUUGCUUUGGUUGAAUGUUUGUCUCCUCCAAAACUCAUGUUGAAACUUAAUUCCCAGUAUGGCAGGCAGUAUUGAGAGGUAGAGCCUUUAAGGGGUGACUGGGUCAUGAGGCUCUGCCCUCAUGAAUUGAUUAAUCUAUUCAUGGAUUAGUGGAUUAAUGAGUUAUAGACUAAUAGGUUAUAAUAGAAGUGUAGAACUGGUGGCUUUAUAAGAAGCGGAAGAGAGAUCUGAGCUAGCGGACUCAGCCCCUUCACCAUGUGAUGCCCUGAGCCGUCCUGGGACUCUGCAGAGAGUUCCUUCAAACAAGAAGGCUCUCACCAGAUGUGGCUCCUUGACCCUGUACUUUUCAG